CUGAAAGCAAUUUGCCCAGAUAAAGCUUUUGGGAUCUCACUUUUGGCUUUCUACAAGAGGGGAUUUAAUGCCUAGAGCCUGAUUCUGAACAUGGGAACAUUGUGUAUGAUCAGUACAAUUCAGGAAGAGUUUGAACUAGAAAAGGCAUAGAGUUCCUGCCUUCAACCCUCCUGGAGAUCUCUAAGCUGCUGGUAUGCCAGGAAAAGCCACAAUAUGAGGUGUACCACCAUCUGGGAUGUUGUCAUGUACUUACUCUACAACUAUAAUCCACUAGGAUCUUCAGUUCAGCAGAUCAAAGCCAGGAAGAUUGUUGGGCCAUCUUUCUCCUGAACUGCAAUUAUUGCAUGGAUAACACUAAAGAGAUAAUUAACAUGGCAUGCAUUUUAUAUCUGAG
RNAcentral lists this long non-coding RNA (394 nucleotides) under Gallus gallus (chicken). RNAcentral describes it as "lncRNA (ENSGALG00010010174.1)". Lineage: Eukaryota; Metazoa; Chordata; Aves; Galliformes; Phasianidae. The record is from RNAcentral.